Molecule: ribosomal RNA, 403 nt
Filed under: Verrucomicrobiota bacterium
Lineage: Bacteria; Pseudomonadati; Verrucomicrobiota
Description: Verrucomicrobia bacterium partial 16S ribosomal RNA
Rfam family: Bacterial small subunit ribosomal RNA
Source: RNAcentral
UGGGGAAUAUUGCACAAUGGGGGAAACCCUGAUGCAGCGACGCCGCGUGAGCGAAGAAGGUUUUCGAAUCGUAAAGCUCUGUCCUAUGAGAAGAUAAUGACGGUAUCAUAGGAGGAAGCCCCGGCUAAAUACGUGCCAGCAGCCGCGGUAAUACGUAUGGGGCGAGCGUUGUCCGGAAUUAUUGGGCGUAAAGGGUACGUAGGCGGUCUAUUAAAUCAGGUGUGAAAGCGUGAGGCUUAACCUCAUUAAGCACUUGUAACUGAUAGACUUGAGUGAAGGAGAGGAAAGUGGAGUUCCUAGUGUAGCGGUGAAAUGCGUAGAUAUAAGGAGGAAUACCGGUGGCGAAGGCGACUUUCUGGACUUUUACUGACGCUCAGGUACGAAAGCGUGGGUAGCAAACAGG